RNAcentral lists this non-coding RNA (27 nucleotides) under Cricetulus griseus (Chinese hamster). Lineage: Eukaryota; Metazoa; Chordata; Mammalia; Rodentia; Cricetidae. The record is from RNAcentral.
GGUCAAUGAAACUGUGAACGCCACAUC